This 117-nucleotide ribosomal RNA is filed under the name Sphenodon punctatus (tuatara). The record is from RNAcentral. Lineage: Eukaryota; Metazoa; Chordata; Lepidosauria; Sphenodontia; Sphenodontidae.
CCCUGCUGUAGUACCACUUCAGUUUAUGAUCCCAUCAUAUUUCAUUAACUAAACAGGAUCAAACCUGGUCAGUACUUAGGUGGAAUCCUUUUGACGAAAACCAAGGUGCUGAAGGAA